GGGAAUGUGGCUUAGCGGUAGAGCGCUUGCCUAACAUGCAUGAGGUCUAAAGUUCAAUUCCUCAGUACCA
This 70-nucleotide transfer RNA is filed under the name Dipodomys ordii (Ord's kangaroo rat). It matches the Rfam family "tRNA". From Rfam's summary of the family: Transfer RNA (tRNA) molecules are approximately 80 nucleotides in length. Their secondary structure includes four short double-helical elements and three loops (D, anti-codon, and T loops). Lineage: Eukaryota; Metazoa; Chordata; Mammalia; Rodentia; Heteromyidae. The record is from Rfam by way of RNAcentral.